RNAcentral lists this ribosomal RNA (486 nucleotides) under uncultured bacterium. Its description in RNAcentral is "partial 16S ribosomal RNA". The record is from RNAcentral.
GUAGUUAGCCGGGGCUUCCUCCUUGAGUACCGUCACUUCCUUCUUCCUCAAGGACAGAGGUUUACAAUCCGAGAACCUUCUUCCCUCACGCGGCGUUGCUGGGUCAGGCUUUCGCCCAUUGCCCAAUAUUCCCCACUGCUGCCUCCCGUAGGAGUCUGGGCCGUGUCUCAGUCCCAGUGUGGCCGAUCACCCUCUCAGGUCGGCUACCCAUCGUUGACUUGGUGGGCCGUUACCUCACCAACUAUCUAAUGGGACGCGAGCUCACCCCUCACCGGAUUCCUCCUUUGACCCCUUCGUCAUGUGACAUUGUGGUCUUAUGCGGUAUUAGCACCUGUUUCCAAGUGUUAUCCCCCUGUGAAGGACAGAUUGCUCACGCGUUACUCACCCGUCCGCCGCUAAAACAGAAACCGAAGCUUCUGUCUCCGCUCGACUUGCAUGUGUUAGGCACGCCGCCAGCGUUCGUCCUGAGCCAUAAUCAAACUCUGA